GAUGAGCAUGCGUCCCAUUAGCUAGUUGGUAAGGUAACGGCUUACCAAGGCAACGAUGGGUAGGGGUCCUGAGAGGGAGAUCCCCCACACUGGUACUGAGACACGGACCAGACUCCUACGGGAGGCAGCAGUGAGGAAUAUUGGACAAUGGGCGCAAGCCUGAUCCAGCCAUGCCGCGUGCAGGAUGACGGUCCUAUGGAUUGUAAACUGCUUUUAUACGAGAAGAAACACUCCUUCGUGAAGGAGCUUGACGGUAUCGUAAGAAUAAGGAUCGGCUAACUCCGUGCCAGCAGCCGCGGUAAUACGGAGGAUCCAAGCGUUAUCCGGAAUCAUUGGGUUUAAAGGGUCCGUAGGCGGUUUAAUAAGUCAGUGGUGAAAGCCCAUCGCUCAACGGUGGAACGGCCAUUGAUACUGUUAGACUUGAAUUAUUAGGAAGUAACUAGAAUAUGUAGUGUAGCGGUGAAAUGCUU
RNAcentral lists this ribosomal RNA (470 nucleotides) under uncultured bacterium. RNAcentral's name for it is "bacterial SSU rRNA". It matches the Rfam family "Bacterial small subunit ribosomal RNA", at positions 224 to 691 of the family's 1533-position model. The record is from RNAcentral.